Molecule: ribosomal RNA, 346 nt
Filed under: Codringtonia gittenbergeri
Lineage: Eukaryota; Metazoa; Mollusca; Gastropoda; Stylommatophora; Helicidae
Description: LSU rRNA
Rfam family: Archaeal large subunit ribosomal RNA
Source: RNAcentral
GGUAGCAUAAUCAAUUGGCUUCUAAUUAAAGUCUGGUAUGAAUGAACGUAUGGGUAAUGACUGUCUAAGGAAUGUUAAUUCAAAAUUAUCAAGUUGGUGCAAAUGCCAACAGGCUUAAAAAAGACGAGAAGACCCUAGAAACUUAUAGUUGAUUUUGCUGGGGCGGCAGAAUUGCAUAUAACCAAUUUUAAUUUACGUGAAGCGACGCAGAAAGAAAAAGUUACUCUAGGGAUAACAGCAUAAUUUUAGUAGUUUGUGACCUCGAUGUUGGACUAGGGAUGUUACCUUCUAGAAGGAGGUAAUUAUGGCUCUGUUCGAGCCCUUAGCCCCUACGUGAUCUGAGUUC